GUCGGCUAUGGUGACAUUUACCCUAAGACAUUACUAGGGAAAAUCGUGGGAGGCCUGUGCUGUAUUGCUGGGGUUCUGGUUAUUGCCCUUCCUAUCCCAAUUAUUGUGAACAAU
Molecule: non-coding RNA, 114 nt
Organism: Papio anubis (olive baboon)
Lineage: Eukaryota; Metazoa; Chordata; Mammalia; Primates; Cercopithecidae
Source: Rfam